GUAGUCGAUGGGAAACGGGUUAAUAUUCCCGUACUUCUUACAAUUGCGAUGGGGGGACGGAGAAGGCUAGGUGGGCCUGGCGACGGUUGUCCAGGUUCAAGUGCGUAGGCUUAAGAGUUAGGUAAAUCCGGCUCUUUUUAAGGCUGAGACACGACGUCGAGCACCUACGGGUGUGAAGUCAUUGAUGCCAUGCUUCCAGGAAAAGCCUCUAAGCUUCAGAUUG
Molecule: ribosomal RNA, 223 nt
Filed under: Vibrio parahaemolyticus
Lineage: Bacteria; Pseudomonadati; Pseudomonadota; Gammaproteobacteria; Vibrionales; Vibrionaceae
Description: partial 23S ribosomal RNA
Rfam family: Bacterial large subunit ribosomal RNA
Source: RNAcentral